This 413-nucleotide ribosomal RNA is filed under the name uncultured prokaryote. Its description in RNAcentral is "bacterial SSU rRNA". It matches the Rfam family "Bacterial small subunit ribosomal RNA", at positions 505 to 918 of the family's 1533-position model. The record is from RNAcentral.
GUGUCAGCAGCCGCGGUAAUACGAAGGGGGCUAGCGUUGCUCGGAAUUACUGGGCGUAAAGGGCGCGUAGGCGGAUAGUUUAGUCAGAGGUGAAAGCCCAGGGCUCAACCUUGGAACUGCCUUUGAUACUGGCUAUCUUGAGUUCGGGAGAGGUGAGUGGAAUGCCGAGUGUAGAGGUGAAAUUCGUAGAUAUUCGGCGGAACACCGGUGGCGAAGGCGACUCACUGGCCCGAUACUGACGCUGAGGCGCGAAAGCGUGGGGAGCAAACAGGAUUAGAUACCCUGGUAGUCCACGCUGUAAACGAUGAGUGCUAGUUGUCGGCAUGCAUGCAUGUCGGUGACGCAGCUAACGCAUUAAGCACUCCGCCUGGGGAGUACGGUCGCAAGAUUAAAACUUAAAUGAAUUGACGGGG